Molecule: small nucleolar RNA, 106 nt
Organism: Cavia porcellus (domestic guinea pig)
Lineage: Eukaryota; Metazoa; Chordata; Mammalia; Rodentia; Caviidae
Rfam family: Small nucleolar RNA U13
Source: Rfam
AGCCUUCAGUUAGUUCAUGAAUGUUAUGAUCGGGUGUUCACGCCACGUGCAUGAGAUGCACCCCCCUCAAACCUUGUUAUGACAUCGGCACAUUACCCAUCUGAAG